GCCAUAUCUCUGCAGAGCAGUGGCAGCAAUGUUACUGAUGGGCCCUUCUCCUGACUCAGCAUAUUUUAGCAGCAGUGGAAUUCCUUCAGGCAGAAGGGCGUUCUUCAUUGCCAGCAGGUGCCCAGGGCUUUAAUUUUAGUCACUUGACUUUCUCGAGCAUGAAUCAGCUUUAGAAGAACUAAAGACCUUUUCUCUAACAAAGGAUUCCAUGUCUGAUCCUGCAGCCUUUACUGAGUUACAUUGACUUUGAUGGGACUGCUUUUUCUGAGUUUGGCAAUUUGACCAGAAUGUCCAUAAAAAUCUUUGUAACUUUACACAGAGAUAUUAGAAGAUUUGGCUUAAGUUCCAAUUCUUCCCUUCGGAUAGGUUUUUUUUAAAAAUGAAUGCAGAGUGAGCUCAGAAUAUAAAGAAUUUUCUAUCACUAGAAAGCAAUCUGUUUGGCAACCUGAGAAGUGCUGAGUGCCCUGAUCUCCCAUGGGAGUUAAUGGAAGUUGAAGGCACUCAGCCUAUAUUAGGAAUCACUCCUCAUCUUUCAGGACCUUGCCUGUAGUCACUGUAUUGAGACUCCAUCCAAGGGAUGACACAAAUGAAAGUAAUGAAGAUCAGUAGAAAGCAGUGGGGUUGCUUUUUUCACUCAGAGCAGUAAACCCAUUUUCUUCAAAUAAAAUACAUGUCUCUAGGAGUUAUCACUUGAUUUUGUUACACUUAGACCCCACAAUGUAUUUUAAAAGACACAUCCCCCCCCACCCCAAUAAAUAAAUAAAAUAAAAUCACAGACGCAGCUUUCAAAUUAGGCAUCUAAUUUAGGGCACCCCCUGCCAUAGGUGUGCUCCCACUGAUACUUCCAGCGCUUCUGCACCAGCAAAAAUGACACACAUUAUUCCCCAGCAGUUCAGCUCUGCUAUUGCUUAUGUAAGCUGAAGCUGGAGUGUGUAGACAAGGCUCAAGAGUUUUUUCCACCAUCUCAGCUAACCUUGCCCAUAGUGCCCAAUGCCCUAUUUCUUCCUCCCUUCCCCCUUCUCCUCUGCACUGCUACAGCGGGGGGACACAUCACACCCCAGUUCCACUGUCAAGGAUCCCUCUCCAGCCUCAGAAGUGGGAGCUAGCUUUGGCUCUACAGGCCUGAUUUGAGAAUCACACUGCAUGGAGGUUUCACUCACUUUAAUUGCAGCACACGGAACAGUUAUACCAUUUGAUCCAUAAAGUGUUUGUUGUUAAGAGAAUGCUAUCAAUUGGAAUUUUUUAACUGACUUUAAAAAAAACAAAGUUUUCUGGUAGCAAAUCCUUUAAAUACUAUGCCCUGAAAUAAAUGUAUAAAAUUCCCUUUAAAUAAAUGUUUACAAGGGUUUUUCUCCUCUCUUGUUGAUGGUUAUAAAGGUCUCUUGUGUACAAGGGAGUAUUGACUAAUUCACUCAUCAUAUAGAGGCUGGUGCUGGAGAUGGGACGUGAAACUGACUGACUACAUACAAAUUGCAGCCAACAGGGGUGCUGGAACAAUUUGUAUUGUGAGGGUGCUGAGAGCCAUUGAACCAAACUGUAAACCCUGGAUAUAACAGAAACCACUUCAAGCCAGGGGGUGGGGCAGCACCCCCAGUUUCAGCGCCUCUGGCUGCCAAAGGCACAAAGUAAACUAACGACAAAAAUGAGAUCCCUCCUCCCCCUUGCCCUCCAAAUUACUUUGUUAUAAUGAUUUGAUGUUCUAUUUGUAACUAAAGAGCUGAGUCCUACUCAGCUCCAAUCCUACACCAAUGGGAGCCUUGCCAUGGACUUCAGUGGGUGCAGGAUCAGACAUUUAAACUGAAGAAGCUGCAUUCAAACCUCUGCAACGGAGUUCAACCAGAAAGGUCGCAUUGUUUUCUACAGGAGGGAUGAGUAAGUCUCUUAGCAAACACAGAAAAGGAAAAUCCGCCACACCACCUCAGACAGAUUCUCAAACCAACUGGAACUCAAUCAGUGUGUUCUGUGUUCCUGUCAGAGAAUUGACAGUACCAGGGUUUCCCAAUUUGUAUAAUGUCUUGCACCAUUUGAUAUGACUUGGCCAAAUAAAAGUUUCAAUACAUCUAAUCAAGAAAAAAUGCAAAGUAUUUGUUUGUUCA
Molecule: long non-coding RNA, 2096 nt
Organism: Chelonia mydas (Green sea turtle)
Lineage: Eukaryota; Metazoa; Chordata; Testudines; Cheloniidae
Exons: 3
Source: RefSeq, a predicted model, not a curated record